AUUCCCGGUGUAGCGGUGAAAUGCGUAGAUAUCGGGAAGAACACCAGUGGCGAAGGCGCUCUGCUGGGCCAUCACUGACGCUCAUGGACGAAAGCCAGGGGAGCGAAAGGGAUUAGAUACCCCUGUAGUCCUGGCCGUAAACGAUGAACACUAGGUGUCGGGGGAAUCGACCCCUCCGGUGUCGUAGCCAACGCGUUAAGUGUUCCGCCUGGGGAGUACGCACGCAAGUGUGAAACUCAAAGGAAUUGACGGGGGCCCGCACAAGCGGUGGAGUAUGUGGUUUAAUUCGAUGCAACGCGAAGAACCUUACCAGGGUUUGACAUCCUGCGAAUCUCUUGGAAACUUGAGAGUGCCUUCGGGAGCGCAGUGACAGGUGGUGCAUGGCUGUCGUCAGCUCGUGUCGUGAGAUGUUGGGUUAAGUCCCGCAACGAGCGCAACCCACGUCUUUAGUUGCCAGCAUUUAGUUGGGCACUCUAGAGAGACCGCCGGUGAUAAACCGGAGGAAGGUGUGGAUGACGUCAAGUCAUCAUGCCCCUUACAUCCUGGGCUACACACGUACUACAAUGCUACAGACAAAGGGCAGCAAGUUCGCGAGGACAAGCAAAUCCCAUAAACCGUGGCUCAGUUCAGAUCGUAGGCUGCAACUCGCCUACGUGAAGGAGGAAUCGCUAGUAAUCGCAGGUCAGCAUACUGCGGUGAAUACGUUCCCGCGCCUUGCACACACCGCCCG
RNAcentral lists this ribosomal RNA (730 nucleotides) under uncultured bacterium. RNAcentral's name for it is "SSU rRNA". It matches the Rfam family "Bacterial small subunit ribosomal RNA", at positions 666 to 1396 of the family's 1533-position model. The record is from RNAcentral.